UACCCCAGCUGGCUUCUCCUUCCCUCUGAGAUCCCACAGUGGAUCCCCUGGGGACUGGGAGUGGGUACAGCAUCAACAUGUGAAGGGAGAACAGUUCUCUCUGGGCAGCCCUGGCCAGACCGCAGCAUGAGAAUUGAUCUGACGUCAGCCUCCUUCUGUAAACUUCUCACGCUAGCCUCAGAGACGAGGUGUCACUAUGCUGCUCAGGCUGGUCUCGAAC
Molecule: long non-coding RNA, 220 nt
Organism: Cercocebus atys (sooty mangabey)
Lineage: Eukaryota; Metazoa; Chordata; Mammalia; Primates; Cercopithecidae
Exons: 3
Source: RefSeq, a predicted model, not a curated record